RNAcentral lists this ribosomal RNA (484 nucleotides) under uncultured bacterium. RNAcentral's name for it is "partial 16S ribosomal RNA". It matches the Rfam family "Bacterial small subunit ribosomal RNA", at positions 30 to 507 of the family's 1533-position model. The record is from RNAcentral.
AUUGAACGCUGGCGGCAUGCCUAACACAUGCAAGUCGAGCGGAUGAAGCGAGCUUUUUUCUGGUGUCAGCGUCGGACGCGUGUGUAAUACCUAUGAAUCUCCCUCGUUUUAGUUUAUAACGUCCUCAGGCGAGCGCUACUACCGCAUGCUUCCUGCUCCUGCUAGUUGGGGGUCUUCGGACCUCACGCUAUCAUAUGAGCCUAGGUCGGAUUAGCUAGUUGGUGGGGUAAAGGCCUACCUAGCCGACGAUCCGUGACUGGUCGGAGAGGAUGAUAAGUCACACUGGAAGUGAGACACGGUCAAGACUCCUACGGGAGGGAGCAGUGGGGAAUAUUAGACAAUGGGCGAAAGCAUGAUCCAGUGAUGCCGCGUGUGUGAAGAAGGUCUUCGGAUUGUAAAGAACUUUAAGUGGGGAGGAACGGCAGUAAGUUAAGACCUAGCUGUAUUGACGUUAACAACAGAAUAAGCACCGGCUAACUACGUG